CCUGUGAGCGCAAUCAGC
This 18-nucleotide unclassified non-coding RNA is filed under the name Chlamydomonas reinhardtii. RNAcentral's name for it is "small RNA Cre_1168". The record is from RNAcentral. Lineage: Eukaryota; Viridiplantae; Chlorophyta; Chlorophyceae; Chlamydomonadales; Chlamydomonadaceae.